GAUGAACGCUGGCGGCGUGCCUAAUACAUGCAAGUCGAGCGAACGGACGAGAAGCUUGCUUCUCUGAUGUUAGCGGCGGACGGGUGAGUAAGACGUGGAUAACCUACCUAUAAGACUGGGAUAACUUCGGGAAACCGGAGCUAAUACCGGAUAAUAUUUUGAACCGCAUGGUUCAAAAGUGAAAGACGGUCUUGCUGUCACUUAUAGAUGGAUCCGCGCUGCAUUAGCUAGUUGGUAAGGUAACGGCUUACCAAGGCAACGAUGCAUAGCCGACCUGAGAGGGUGAUCGGCCACACUGGAACUGAGACACGGUCCAGACUCCUACGGGAGGCAGCAGUAGGGAAUCUUCCGCAAUGGGCGAAAGCCUGACGGAGCAACGCCGCGUGAGUGAUGAAGGUCUUCGGAUCGUAAAACUCUGUUAUUAGGGAAGAACAUAUGUGUAAGUAACUGUGCACAUCUUGACGGUACCUAAUCAGAAAGCCACGGCUAACUACGUG
RNAcentral lists this ribosomal RNA (497 nucleotides) under uncultured bacterium. Its description in RNAcentral is "partial 16S ribosomal RNA". It matches the Rfam family "Bacterial small subunit ribosomal RNA", at positions 28 to 507 of the family's 1533-position model. The record is from RNAcentral.